CCCUUAGAUGUCCUGGGCCGCACGCGCGUUACACUGAUGCAUUCAACGAGCUUAUAACCUUGGCCGAGAGGCCUGGGCAAUCUUGUUAACGUGCAUCGUGAUAGGGAUAGAUUAUUGAAAUUAUUAAUCUUGAACGAGGAAUUCCUAGUAAACGCAGAUCAUCAAUCUGCAUUGAUUACGUCCCUGCCCUUUGUACACACCGCCCGUCGCUACUACCGAUUGAAUGGUUUAGUGAGGUCCUCGGACUAGUGGCGAUCGCUCGAGCUCUGCUCUGUGGUCGUUCUGCCGGGAAGACGAUCGAACUUGAUCAUUUAGAGGAAGUAAAAGUCGUAACA
Molecule: ribosomal RNA, 335 nt
Filed under: uncultured eukaryote
Lineage: Eukaryota
Description: partial 18S ribosomal RNA
Rfam family: Eukaryotic small subunit ribosomal RNA
Source: RNAcentral